GUGCUCGCCUCGGCAGCACGUAUGCGAAAAUUGGAGCAACACAGAGAAGAUUAGCACGGCCCUUGCACGAGGAUCACGGGCAAAUUUGGGAAGUGUUCCAUGUUUUU
Molecule: small nuclear RNA, 107 nt
Organism: Hyaena hyaena (striped hyena)
Lineage: Eukaryota; Metazoa; Chordata; Mammalia; Carnivora; Hyaenidae
Source: RefSeq, a predicted model, not a curated record